Molecule: long non-coding RNA, 1794 nt
Filed under: Equus caballus (horse)
Lineage: Eukaryota; Metazoa; Chordata; Mammalia; Perissodactyla; Equidae
Description: lncRNA (ENSECAG00000037540.3)
Source: RNAcentral
CUGCCGGCCAAGCCCGCUACAGUCCGGCGUCCAGGGCAGCUGUUCUCUUUAUACCCAGGACGAGAGCAGAAGAAUGGUGUCCUGCAAAACAGAAGGGCACAGGGUCCUUAAGAGCCCCUGGCAAUGGGAAAUACAAGUGCUGCCAUACCCUGAACUCAACUGUCAACCUUUUAAACUUCCGGCUGAAUGGGCGAAGAGGAGGCGGGUCAGGUGCCGGGAGGGCCAGUUGGCACGUUUACCUCCAGACACCAUUUCCAAGGAGGCAUUAGCAGCUUCCUAUCUGAACAAACAGGAAGCCUAUUAAAAACGCCAUUGUCCUUUCCCGCCUGUGCUGACAAGACUGUUAAAUGCCAAGUCUACAGAGCUUUGCCAAGUUGAGAGACCCAGGGGACGUGCAGCUGCUGGGGCCACCUGUGUCUGUCUGAGUCCAGCUGAGAGAUUUCCUCUUUGGGCACCCCAUUGUGGAGUGACGGGUCCCACGGAGUGAGGGGCAGGCAGAGGACUGAAGGAGGGAGGGGUGGAAGAGAGCGGUUCGCCCGUUGCCGACGGCUGAGAGCACGCAGCCAGUUCCCCUUCUCGCUCUGCUCUGCUCAGUCAGGAAUUCGGCUCUGCCCGCCACCCGGGUCUCGGAAACGUUCUGGCUGGGAAUCAAGUCCAAGAUGAAACACCUGCCUUCCACUGCCGUCCCACACGCACAAUGCACCACAUGCCAGUUGGCAGUGGAGCGAAAGAGGCCCAUUAAAGAAAAGUUCCUGACAUUAUUAAGAAGUGCAGUCCUGCCAUUGUGCGUGCAUGCUCUCUCUCUCUCUCACACACGCUCUCUCUCUCACACACACACACGCACUCUACAGGCCUCUAAAGCUUUGUGCAUGUCCCAUGUCCCUGGCUACUUCACUGUCAAUCAAACACUGAAUAAGAGAGAGAGCCCUCUCCUCUGUGGAUAACAGAGGGAGACGGGAGGAUCAGACAGAGAGAAGGAGAUGUGACCACGGAAGAAGAGGAUGGAGCCAUGUUGGGCCACAAGCCAAGGAAUACAGGAAGCUUCUAGAAGCUGGAAAAGGCAAGGAAAUGGAUUAUCCACUAGAGCCUCCAGAAGGAAUGCCGGCCCACCGACACCUUGAUCUUAGCCCAGGAAAACUGAUUUGGGACGUCUGACCUCCAAAACUAAUAGAGUGUCUCCAUGCCACCUGCUCAUCACCACUCUGCACUCUGAUCUUGAUUUAUUAAGUGGAGCUCAAACCAUUGCUCUUUACAGAAGAUCUAUAGCUCAGAGAUGCUGAACUACACAGGAAUUGAAACAAGACCGGGAAGAGCGGAAGGAAACGGCUUAUCUCUUCGACAUCUUUUUCCAAUUCUCCUGUAAUCUCCCGCGUCUUCAGAUCCAGUUUCCUGCUGACAGGGUGAAGGCUGCAAAAACUCUCCGGGCUUUGAGAUAAAGCAUCCCAAGCUGGAUCAGGAGCUACGCAUACUUUCUCCCUCGAGCCUUCUCUUAAAUGUUUGGAACUCUAGAACUCCUUCCUUGAGAAUGAGGAAAAGCAAACAUCACAGGUUGUGACUUUGGAAGCCUGUAAACCGAGCUUUUUGUUGACUCUGGUGGGAGUAAGGCCUUGAACUGCACUGGUCUGGUAAUUUCUUUACUGCAGCGGACAUUCACUGAGCUGCUACUAUGUGGCACCAGCCAGGGCUGCAGGCGAGGCACAGAGAAACCUGAUGGGGUCCUGCCUACAGGAGCUCGCUUGUAAAACAGUCGGAGGCAAAUACCAGCAGUCUUCUAAGACCCCACAAUACACUGCG